Molecule: long non-coding RNA, 2040 nt
Organism: Ornithodoros turicata
Lineage: Eukaryota; Metazoa; Arthropoda; Arachnida; Ixodida; Argasidae
Exons: 2
Source: RefSeq, a predicted model, not a curated record
CAUCAUGCAGAAAGCGUGAGACAGCAUAAGCAAACGAAAACGAAGUUGAACAGCGCGAGAGCUCGCGGCUCGUGACGCCGCGAUAGGCCAUCCACCGACGCUGUUUGAUUUCUUAGUCAGCACGGUGCAAGGUUCCGCGUUUCACGGGAAGGCACGUGACUCGAAGCAGAAGAGCAUCUCGGAGCACCACAAAAAUCGUUCCGCGAGGCGCGCAGCGAGCGUCAGCGCAUCCAUGUAAACAAUCUUACGUCACCGGGUGCCAUUUCCGCGACCACGCGCUCCCAUGCAUUGGAUAGGCCGGUAAGCACACCAGUCCUUCUAGCUCACCAUAGUUACUUGUUGGCUCAGGAGCUACCUUGCUGCCUGGAAGAGGAGCCCAGAGAGCUGCAGGACGAAAACAUCAGCUCCACAACCAUCACUCUCCCGGCAUUGAUCUUAGUUAUCGCCCUAAGCAUAGCCGCGGCAGUCACUAUCGGGGCUUUCCUCUACAACAACAAGGGGCAUGCGACGCCCAAAGAGAAGGACAACGCAUCAGCUCCUGGACACGUAUCGAUGCCGAAAUUCCCGCAGAAGCCCUAUGACGCCACCAACGAAGACUACACAGACAAUGAUGAUGCAUCGGCAGAAGGUACAUCCCCGACAUACAAAAAAGUUUGCAACACCGAUGACUGUCAACACGUUCGCAAGUUAAAGUACCUUUUUAGAAAAGCAAGUGUCACCUGUGACACGCAAGGGGUCAUGGCAACUUACAGCGUCUUCCAGCUUUACGAGGCUGCCAGAGGCGGAGGUAGAAGAACAACAACAUUCCCGGUGUGCGCAGCAGCAGCAUUCAGCCGGGGUAAACCAUAACCGAAGCAGACGACAGGGCAGUGUCGCUCAAAGUUCCCACGCUGCUUUGCGCCGCUCGCUUGGUGGCGCGCAUCUUUGUAAAAUCGUGUUUUGAAGCAGUUGUGGACACGGACAGAAAUCCGUGUGACAACUCCUACAAGUUCACCUGCGGAAAAAAUUAACAGCUGCUUCCCGUUGUGUCCCACGAUGAACUUGGAAAAGAUUCAGUCGAUCAAUCCGUGUGGAAAUCUAUAAAGCAAAAUCUGGAGAGGGCACACAACCCUCCAAGCGGUACAACAGCAUUUCAAAAGUCUGCCGCACUGUACAAACACUGCAUAGAAACAGACGCUAACAAGUCUGCAAAAGAUGCCAGACAUUUUUUGGGGGAACACCAGAUGGAUAUAACGAAAAACAUGUCAUUCAAGUCGUUGGACAUAAUGGUCAAAUUUAUAUUUAAGAUUAACAUUCCCGUGCUGUUUGUCGAGGCGGAUGCUCGAACUUUCACGUUUCGGAAAGAAACAGAACCGCCAAAUACUAAAACACCUGGGUGCUGCAGCAAUUAUGUCCGACGUGUAUUCAGCGCUAGUUGAUGACACCGUGGUGAAAACUAUAACAAGUCUAAAGAAAAAGUUUCAUGGAGCUGGUGCAACGUCAGAGAAGUGUGCACCGAAUAUCAAACGCCAGCGUCAGGGUGAUGGAAUUUCGUGAAGUGGCUCUAGAAGAGGACGAGUUGUCUAAAAAUAUGAGUGAGACACUCCGGCGCUUCGCACCACCUGCGCUGCAAACGAAACUCAUACACACGACAGAGGAUGCGUUGCAGUUAUUCUACCGCCUUUUCGGGAAGCAAAGGGACCUCUGGGAAAACGAAAUGCGAGUAUUCUUUGCCUGGAGGGCUGCCGUUUACUUUUUUAGCGUCGUUUUCGGUGGCACCAUAGAUUGCCUGGGAAACCACCUUACGGAAACUUCCAAGCGCCGUAGCCCAAGGAGCGUCAUUUAAAGUUGCCCGUGGAGCCUUUUUCAACUCAGCCACCGAAAGAUGAAAGGUGCAAUCUUCCUCUCACGAACUCUGCGUAUUUCAGCAAAGCCUUCUCUUGCCGUGACGACUCGCCGAUGAAUCCACCGCAAAAUGUUCCGUUUGGUAGUUCCGGCACCUAAAAAUGAGCUGGAUGAUGCAGAAGAAAUUCGGUAAAUGAAAUCCGAACAAAUGUUUCA